GGACCCGUAGCUCAGUUGGAUAGAGCACUUGGCUUCGAACCAAGGGGUCGGGGGUUCGAGUCCCUCCGGGUCUGCCA
Molecule: transfer RNA, 77 nt
Filed under: Verrucomicrobiota bacterium
Lineage: Bacteria; Pseudomonadati; Verrucomicrobiota
Description: Verrucomicrobia bacterium (freshwater metagenome) tRNA-Arg
Rfam family: tRNA
About the family: Transfer RNA (tRNA) molecules are approximately 80 nucleotides in length. Their secondary structure includes four short double-helical elements and three loops (D, anti-codon, and T loops).
Source: RNAcentral